AAACCCUCAACCCUAGAUUGGUUAAAACCUUUCUUUGGUUUGGAUUUGGACGUUUGCCGAUGAUAAGUCGGCUCGUCUUAAAAGUAAUAGCUGGAUCUGUCUCGCGACAUGGUUUGACUUGGCGUAAUAAGUAUUUCGCUAAGGACAUCUUCGGAUGGCCGCGUUGCAGGACUAAAGACCGCUUUCUAAUCCAUUGAUCUUCGGAUUAAUACUCUUGAC
This 219-nucleotide unclassified non-coding RNA is filed under the name uncultured Naganishia. RNAcentral's name for it is "sequence contains ITS2". The record is from RNAcentral. Lineage: Eukaryota; Fungi; Basidiomycota; Tremellomycetes; Filobasidiales; Filobasidiaceae.